This 1299-nucleotide long non-coding RNA is filed under the name Bos indicus x Bos taurus (hybrid cattle). RNAcentral's name for it is "lncRNA (ENSBIXG00000024906.1)". The record is from RNAcentral. Lineage: Eukaryota; Metazoa; Chordata; Mammalia; Artiodactyla; Bovidae.
AUGACUCACAACUGUGACCGCCUCCGUGUUUUCCUUCUUCCCUUCUUUUCAAGUCCAAGUUUUUCUACGGACAUUCAGUCUGAAAACACUCACGUGGAUGUGUGCGUCGCACUUUGCAGGUCCAAGACUGAUCCUCAAGCGCGAAGAGCGACCUCGGAUCCGGGCUCGCCCGGUGGGCCCCCUUGUCGCGUCCAAGCGUCCCGCCCCGGCUCGGCUGCGCUCCGCGGGGACCCAGGACCUUCGCCGCAGCGGUUGCCCGGGCGCGGGCCGCGCAGGCACUUGUUAGAGCGCCCGGCUUGCUCGGCUGCCCAGCUCUUCCCAGCUUUCUUUCACAAUGACUUCCUGAAGUUGCUCACUCUCAUUGUUCCCCAUUUCUCCGCCGCGAUCCCCACCCCCAGCCGGCCGCCACCCGGCUUUCGCGCUCGCGGCCGGUCUGCCCGUCCCGCGUGCACAGCGCCGCCCACGGGCUGCGCACCUGUGCCCCGCGCCGCGCCCCCGCGAGCCAGCGCUCAGUCACCUGCGGCCGCUUGCUCCGAGCGCCCGGGCCCGAGCGCGCGCCCGUUACCCUCGCUCCGCAAACUUUGUGGCUGCGCGCCACACCGGUCCCGGCGCGCCCUGCCCCGCAGCUGCCUCGCCCCUGCCUCGCCCCUGCCUCGCCCCUGCCUCGCCCCGCGUGCACGCUCCGGCACCAAACAGGACAGAAGCGAGGAGCGGGGCCCCGGGCGUGGCGCGAGCAGGACUAGGAGAGGGACUGAGACGGGGAGCGGGACUGGACGCGGAACCAGGCACGGUGCGGGACUCCGAGCGGGACUUGGAGAGGGAUUCUGGUCGGGGCGCGCCGCCCCAGCCGCCCGUCGCCCGCUCACGCGGCGCCGUCCCGAGCGCAACUCCGGGGCAUCGUGCGCAAACUUUGGCGCCGCGCGGGGCUGGACCCUGGCCGGCCCCAACACAGGAGACCCGGGAAGCGGCAGGCACGGGCCGUACCUGCUCGCGCCGCCGCGCGCUGCAUCCCGCUCGCCGGCACUGGGCCCGCUGGGCGCGCCGCCGCCACCCCACGCGCUGCGCGCCCCUGUCCUCCCCGCGCCGCCGUGCUUCCUCAUCCCACCGCUGCCAGGCAUAGCCAGAGGGUCCGCCACCGCGCCGCAGGACCCGCGCUUAACCCCUGGGGUUCCGGCGCGGAUGGCGUGUGGAGGACUGCCAGAUCUGGGGCGUCCUCCCGGGGACCGGCAGCCUUGCGCCCCGGGCCGCUCGUCGGGGCACCCGCGUGCUCGCCCUGCCCUAGGACUCGGAACCCAGUGA